This 500-nucleotide long non-coding RNA is filed under the name Anas platyrhynchos platyrhynchos (common mallard). RNAcentral describes it as "lncRNA (ENSAPLG00000027747.1)". Lineage: Eukaryota; Metazoa; Chordata; Aves; Anseriformes; Anatidae. The record is from RNAcentral.
CUGUCCUGAAGUUGUACUUGCUCGUUUUCUAACGAUUGAAGUGUGAUCUCACCGAAGUUUAGCAUCUGAAACUUUGAAGUCUAGUCUGUGUACCAGCUUUUUUUGUCUUUUUAACAGAAGGAAAUACAUGUCUUCAGGAGGCAGUUUGCUAUGUUUCUUUGGUGUUGCCAUCUCUUCAUUGGCUACAGAGGUUGGGAUGAAAUGAGAACAAAACCCAAAUGAGAGAGGUCAUUACAUGCAGAUGGUCUUCUGUUUUAAUAUGAACAUCUGAGACAAUAACCCAGCUCUUCCUGAGGAAAAUGGAAUUGUCAGAGAAGAGAGAAGAGGUUACCUUGGCAACAAGGUCACCUGGCAGGACCUGUGGUGUGAGGAGAGUGACUGGGGCAGCGCGUGAUGGGAGUGCCUCAAAGAUGAUGAAAGAGCAGGAGGUCAAUCCCUCACGCUUCUCAGUGACUUCCAUCAGCUCAAGGAUCACAGUGGAAAAUGUCAAGUCAUUUUGA